CUUACACAAUCACACACACAGGAGGGAGAGAGAUGAGGAGAGCCACUGGGAAAGCGGAAACAGAGAGGAAGACACUGAGGACUGAGGAAAGAAUCGUGACAGUCCUUUAAAAUGAACUUGGAUGGGUGGGAAAUCAGAGAGGAAGAACACAUUCUUUUGUGGUGCUGGCCAUGCUACAUUACAUUACAGCAGAGGGUUGGUGUGGGUCUCUUCUACAGCACCGUGAUUGGAGUAUUUCUGUCUUUCAAUUCCCAAUGAGCCAUGAAAGCAAGCAACCUGACAUGCCUCACCAACAAGGCCCACAGACACCUCCAUCCUCAUGUACUCUUUUCCAAGGACUUUUUGCUUUGAUGUACGAAGACCUGGCAUUGUUAACAUCGGGAAGGUGUGCCUAGCAUGCAAAUACAGGAAAUGUUUAUUAUUUGUACAGGAAAAGCACAGCAUUUCUCAGGAUUUUUUUUCUCCUUGCUGCCUGUGCUGAAGGUUAGUUUCUGAAUCUGGCCGUGUUCUGGAUGUGUUUAUGUUUAUAUUUCCCACAAAAAGAAACAGUGUUUACCACAGAAUGUGUGCUCCAUUAUAAUAUUUAACAUAUGCAUGCUGCCUUAUAAAUGUUACUUAGAGGCUGUUGUCUUGGCAAAAUAUUGUCUGGAGGAAUACUGGCAAUCUAUUAAUAUAUUAAUUAAAUAAUAUUCUGUUUCAUUAGAUGCCAGCCUGUCAUACCUUCUUGCUUGUUUGAUACAGAUUAAUUAUGAUUAGCAUCCUUUGCCAUUUAAAUGUAUUUGAUUAAGACUGACUGGAAUCUAGUAGUUUAAAUUCUCUAAUUGGAAAUAGGGACAAAUAAUAACAGUUUCAUCUCACACAAUCUAUGUAUCUUUAUUUUUUACUUUUUUAGAACUAACACACAUAAACACAUACUUUAGUCAACAAAUCUGACACUUCUCACUGCUAAUUUAUUGUAGAUAUGCUGAAAGGGCA
Thunnus maccoyii (southern bluefin tuna) is the source of this 975-nucleotide long non-coding RNA. RefSeq lists it as uncharacterized. Lineage: Eukaryota; Metazoa; Chordata; Actinopteri; Scombriformes; Scombridae. The transcript is spliced from 3 exons. The record is from RefSeq and is a predicted model, not a curated record.